Molecule: ribosomal RNA, 253 nt
Filed under: uncultured bacterium
Lineage: Bacteria
Description: partial 16S ribosomal RNA
Rfam family: Bacterial small subunit ribosomal RNA
Source: RNAcentral
UACGUAGGGGGCAAGCGUUGUCCGGAAUCAUUGGGCGUAAAGAGCGUGUAGGCGGCCCGAUAAGUCCGCUGUGAAAGUCCAGGGCUCAACCCUGGAAUGCCGGUGGAUACUGUCGGGCUCGAGUCCGGAAGAGGUGAGUGGAAUUCCUGGUGUAGCGGUGAAAUGCGCAGAUAUCAGGAGGAACACCAAUGGCGAAGGCAGCUCACUGGGGCGGUACUGACGCUGAGACGCGAAAGCGUGGGGAGCAAACAGG